RNAcentral lists this ribosomal RNA (481 nucleotides) under uncultured bacterium. RNAcentral's name for it is "partial 16S ribosomal RNA". It matches the Rfam family "Bacterial small subunit ribosomal RNA", at positions 31 to 507 of the family's 1533-position model. The record is from RNAcentral.
GAACGCUGGCGGCAUGCCUUACACAUGCAAGUCGAACGGCAGCGCGGACUUCGGUCUGGCGGCGAGUGGCGAACGGGUGAGUAAUACAUCGGAACGUACCCUGUUGUGGGGGAUAACUAGUCGAAAGAUUAGCUAAUACCGCAUACGACCUGAGGGUGAAAGUGGGGGACCGCAAGGCCUCACGCAGCAGGAGCGGCCGAUGUCUGAUUAGCUAGUUGGUGUGGUAAAGGCCCACCAAGGCGACGAUCAGUAGCUAGUCUGAGAGGACGAUCAGCCACACUGGGACUGAGACACGGCCCAGACUCCUACGGGAGGCAGCAGUGGGGAAUUUUGGACAAUGGGGGCAACCCUGAUCCAGCAAUGCCGCGUGUGUGAAGAAGGCCUUCGGGUUGUAAAGCACUUUUGUCCGGAAAGAAAUCGCGCUGGUUAAUACCUGGCGUGGAUGACGGUACCGGAAGAAUAAGCACCGGCUAACUACGUG